This is a non-coding RNA of Salvia hispanica, 2054 nucleotides long. The record is from RefSeq and is a predicted model, not a curated record. Lineage: Eukaryota; Viridiplantae; Streptophyta; Magnoliopsida; Lamiales; Lamiaceae.
UUCAAUUGAAUGUGAGGAACAAGUUAGCAGUAGUGGUGGGGGCAGAGGGGAAAGGCCUCGCACAAUUUUGCACAAUUUUGAUGUUAAUUUUUUCCUCUUUUGUAUGGAGAUUGGCAUGGUGGCGUGGAGGAGAGUUGGCACUGCCAGCAACUGUUUGAUAUAUUGCAUGAAUGAAGCCAAAGGUCUACUGUGUUACUAUAAGUAGGAGGGACUGGUUCUGCUGGGAAUCCUCUCACUAGAAAAAAUCGGGGAAACGGAAACCCUAAUUGAUGGGAUGGUUUAGACCUCAGCAGCGGCCGGUUUUCAGGUUGUUGUUUGUGGAUUGUUUUGAUUGGAGCGAAAGAGGGGAGAAGAGAAAGGACUAAUUGACAGAAGAGAGCGAGCACAAGCAGGCAAUUGUAUAGAGUUAUACCUUUGUGGAUGCGUGUGCUCACUUCUAUUCUGUCAGCUUCUCUCUCCACCGCCUCUCUCUGCCUCCCUCCAUCCCUCCUCCCUUCACACACAUACACGCCGCACGCGUGCGUCAUUGCCCUAUCUGAUACAUCUGGGGACCUGCCAAAGAUACACCAUCCUUUGCAAACAACGUACAUCAACAAAAUGACGAACCCCAGUUUGUACUCAUCUUCUUUUUCGGGAGUUGUGAUUAUAUGAUUUAAUUUAAUUUUUUUUUUUUAUAAUCUAGGUUCAUAUAGAUAAGUAUCGAUUUUUACUGCGCUUUUGUCAGUUUUAUCAUGAGUAAAACAGUGAUUCCCUGAUACAAAACCUUUCACCUUUCGAGUGGAAGGAUUUGUUUAUUGCUAUCUUGUUCUUGCAGGAAAAAAGAUGUAUAUUUUAUGUGAUUAAUCAUCUUGUUUGUGUUUCUCUGUUGGAUUUGUCUGUGAUAAGAGUGUGAAUCACGGAGUUCGUUGUCCUUGAUUAUGUUUUCAUAUUUAGGCCUAUGAGUUAAUUGAUUCUCGUGAUUAGUUCCGGAUCCUCAGCCUUUCUCCUUGAUUUGUAAGGGAUCUCAUCCACGAACUGCCAAAGGCCGAUGAAGAUCUCAUAUCAGGUUAUGGACUGGAAAGGAUGGAUGAGUGAGGUGCACUUCCAGUCUCAUGCAAUGAUUGUAUAAAUAAUCUAGGGAAAAAAAGUUGAGACUUAUCUCAGAAUAGGCUUGAGACCUUCCUUGUUCACACAUGUUAUAAACUUCAUUAGGACUUGAUUUAUACAUUGGAAAGCAGUAGAGUAUUGAGAUAUAUAAUCUCUAUUACUCAAACGCAGAACUAUACUCCAUAAGAAAUCAUCCAUGAUUUGGAACGAUGAUGAUCACAAUGUACUGAUUUAAAAGAAUAAGAAUGGAAUCCUAAGCCCAAUGACAUGUAUUGAAUUGCUUGCUUACCGUGCACUUUUCCUCCUUCAUGGUUUGUAUUGAAAGGAGUAAUUCGUCAGCUGUCAUAAGCGUGUUCCUAGUUAUUUCACUUUGUUUGGCUGGACACAACUGCCAAGAGCGGCAUAAUUUAGUGCAUUUCUUUCAUACCUUGCCUUUUGCUACAUAGGAUUCGCAAGCCUUUGUGCCAUAUAGCACUAAAGUUAUACUGAUCCAGCUAGUAGGGGAUGUUAUGCCACAAGAAGGUGUGGCUUAGUGGAAUUGGAUGCAGGGAAUGGAUCAUUAAAUUCAGAAGCUGCUUAAUGAAGGCACGAAGAGAAAACAUGCAAGAAAGAGGGCAAAUGACAAGGAAUGGAAGAAAGUGAAGGAAGAAGGCAAAGAUGACCCAAACUGCCGAAGCUAUUGGACUGGCCAGCUUGAACCCGACGGGAAAAUGAUUAAAGCCACUUCCACACACUUAUCAAGGACAACUCUCACUUGCUACACAUGCCCAUAUCAGCCCUUGGAGAGUAAAAAAGAAAAAGAAAUAUCUUUAAUUAGAUAUAUGUUUUAAAAAGACUUUAACUUUCCAACACCCACUUUUUAUCACUUUAGCUUUAGUUUAGUUUAGUUAAUUCUCUCUCUAGGAAACUUUUCUCUCUUCCUUAAGAGGAGAGAUUUCAGACUCAAGGCUGCCAAGAUCUUUUGUUCA